ACUCUCUCAUGCUGCAGUUCCCUCCCAGACUUAACAAGACUCCAGGAAGGCUGACCUCCAGAAGUUGUGUUGUGAGCCUGCCCCAGUCUCCCAGCAGUGUUUGAAUCUGGGGAACUCAGCAGUCAGCUGAAAGACUUCUUCGUGCAUCCCUCCACAGGGCACCAGGGCAUAUGGGUCUUUCAAAGUGGAAACCAAAGACUCCAGAUGAGACAUUGAAAAUUAAUACCACAAACUUUGCUCUCCUGUAGCCCCAGAGUGAGUGGGCGAAGAUAAGGCCCUGUGUGAUGCCAUGUGGAGAGAAGGCCAGUGGAGCAGAAUGGACAGCCUUGUAAAAUUACCAAGUUCAAGAAGAUGUUGCACACAGCAAGAAAAUAAAAUGAAAAAAUGCUUCAAUACCAUGG
This 401-nucleotide long non-coding RNA is filed under the name Equus caballus (horse). RNAcentral's name for it is "lncRNA (ENSECAG00000057004.1)". The record is from RNAcentral. Lineage: Eukaryota; Metazoa; Chordata; Mammalia; Perissodactyla; Equidae.